This 1248-nucleotide ribosomal RNA is filed under the name metagenome. RNAcentral describes it as "bacterial LSU rRNA". It matches the Rfam family "Bacterial large subunit ribosomal RNA", at positions 1635 to 2875 of the family's 2925-position model. The record is from RNAcentral.
UAUACGACCGUACCGCAAACCGACACUGGUGCGCGAGAUGAGUAUUCUAAGGCGCUUGAGAGAACUCAGGAGAAGGAACUCGGCAAAUUGACACCGUAACUUCGGAAGAAGGUGUGCCCUAUUAGUGUGUAGUGAACAACGAAGCAUGAGUGGGUUGCAAAAAAUCGGUGGCUGCGACUGUUUAUUAAAAACAUAGCACUCUGCAAACACGAAAGUGGACGUAUAGGGUGUGACGCCUGCCCGGUGCUGGAAGAUUAAAUGAUGGGGUGCAAGCUCUUGAUUGAAGUCCCAGUAAACGGCGGCCGUAACCAUAACGGUCCUAAGGUAGCGAAAUUCCUUGUCGGGUAAGUCCCGACCUGCACGAAUGGCGUAACGAUGGCCACACUGUCUCCUCCUGAGACUCAGCGAAGUUGAAAUGUUUGUGAUGAUGCAAUCUCCCCGCGGAAAGACGGAAAGACCCCAUGAACCUUUACUGUAGCUUUGUAUUGGACUUUGAACAGAUCUGUGUAGGAUAGGUGGGAGGCUUUGAAGCAGGGUCGCUAGAUCUUGUGGAGCCAACGUUGAAAUACCACCCUGGUGUGUUUGAGGUUCUAACCUAGGUCCAUUAUCUGGAUCGGGGACAGUGCAUGGUAGGCAGUUUGACUGGGGCGGUCUCCUCCCAAAGCGUAACGGAGGAGUUCGAAGGUACGCUAGUUACGGUCGGACAUCGUGACGAUAGUGCAAUGGCAUAAGCGUGCUUAACUGCGAGACUGACAAGUCGAGCAGAUGCGAAAGCAGGACAUAGUGAUCCGGUGGUUCUGUAUGGAAGGGCCAUCGCUCAACGGAUAAAAGGUACUCUGGGGAUAACAGGCUGACACCGCCCAAGAGUUCAUAUCGACGGCGGUGUUUGGCACCUCGAUGUCGGCUCAUCUCAUCCUGGGGCUGUAGCCGGUCCCAAGGGUAUGGCUAUUCGCCAUUUAAAGAGGUACGUGAGCUGGGUUUAAAACGUCGUGAGACAGUUUGGUCCCUAUCUUCCGUGGGCGCUGCAGAUUUGAGGAAGCCUGCUCCUAGUACGAGGGGACCGGAGUGGACACACCUCUGGUGUAUCGGUUGUCACGCCAGUGGCAUUGCCGAGUAGCUAAGUGUGGAAGAGAUAACCGCUGAAAGCAUCUAAGCGGGAAACUCGUUUCAAGAUGAGAUCUGCCGGGGCCUUGAGCCCCCUAAAGAGUCGUUCAAGACCAGGACGUUGAUAGGUCAGGUGUGGAAGCG